Molecule: non-coding RNA, 85 nt
Organism: Felis catus (domestic cat)
Lineage: Eukaryota; Metazoa; Chordata; Mammalia; Carnivora; Felidae
Source: Rfam
GCUUGGGUGGCUCAGUUGGUUAAGCAUGUGACUUCGGUUCAGGUCAUGAUCUCGUGGUUUGUGGGUUCGAGCCCCACAUCAGGCU